GAGACAGCAGGUCCGGUAGAGAGACACAGGAUCAAACAGCAGGUCUUGGACAAGGUAGCACUUCUGGUGAGUCCUGAGCAGGUCAGGGUUCCAUAGCCGCAGACAGAAACAGCAGAGACUGGAUCAGCAGCACGACAAGGUGGACUGGGGACAGGGCUAGCCAGGAGUCAUCAGGCCAGGUAGUCCUGUGGCAUUGUCCUAGGGCUCAGUUACUGCAUCCUUUAUUUUAUUUGUGUUUUAAUUUGUGUAGACUAAAGCCCAGAAACACACACUUCAUUUAGGUUAGUGUAGUCAAGGCUUUGUCACUAAAAUAAUAUUGUGCUUAUCUUUCAGAUCUGUCAACCAAGCUCGCUGGGUGACAGGUGAGUGUUUCCACCAAGCUGUUCCAGUCCUGGAGUGGAAUGCUGGAACUUCCAGAGGCUUGUAGACCUGAAGCAUUGUGAUGUGGUCCAGAUCUGACAUCCCUAUUAUUUCAACCACAGCCCUCACAGCUGCAGUCGUCUGCCCCUGCUAUACUGGUCACGACAGGUGAUACAGAUCUGCCACCAGGUUUUCAGCUGCAGUCACACCAGUCCUCAGCUGUGGUAUUUCAUUUACCGGCUGUACCAGAUCCUACUACACUGGCCAUGAAGGGAGAACAUUUUGAGGAUUCCCAGAUGGAUACAGAUCUGCCAUGCACUUCACCACUGCCCUACAGCCUCACCCAGAAAUGCAUACACUGGGCCUAGCAAGACUGACAAAGCAGAGAUGGGUGGCUGACAAGGAAAAUUAAACACAACAUACACACACACACACACACACACACACAC
Molecule: non-coding RNA, 809 nt
Organism: Salmo salar (Atlantic salmon)
Lineage: Eukaryota; Metazoa; Chordata; Actinopteri; Salmoniformes; Salmonidae
Source: RefSeq, a predicted model, not a curated record